Cyprinus carpio carpio is the source of this 1522-nucleotide long non-coding RNA. Lineage: Eukaryota; Metazoa; Chordata; Actinopteri; Cypriniformes; Cyprinidae. The record is from Ensembl.
ACUACUUUAAGGUUGUUCUCUGACAAAUACUCUGAACUCAAGGAUGUGUUUACCUGCCCUUGUUGUGCUGGCGUUAAGAUAAUAUUAUUGUGUGUUAACCCUGAGAAACCAAUAGACGGCAUCCUUGCUCUUGACAUGUUAGAGAAUGACUAAUCAAUUCCAGUUGUUUGUAAAGGUUAUCAAACUACAACCUCUAAUCACUCUUGAGGAGACUGUGAUUAGAAAAGUGCCAUGAAGUGCCAUUUUAACACACCAAUCAUUCAUACUAAAAACAUAUUUUUAUUUAUUUAUUUAUUUUAUUUCUUUCUUUAUGUUAUUUCUGACAAAAAUCAGCUGACGCACCCUUGACUGUUCUAAUCAUCCUCAAACUACAGAGUCGGAUUCUGCAAUCAGAGAUUGUUUUUUCGCUGUUAUUUUGGAAUAAAUUAGUUGUAAGGCAUGGAGGACAGUGUUGGACUGGCCAGCUUUAAAUAGACUCUCGGGGUGAAGCAUACUUGGUCUUAAACACAGGAAGCUCAGCCUUAUGAGAGGAGGAGAGAACGGCCCUCUAAACUCCAGGAAAUGGGCCUUCAGGACGAGCAAUCUUCACCAGGCACAGGGUCACGGGCACUUAAACACUGUCUACUGCUGCCUGCGGGUUACAGAACGCCUGUUUGCUGACAGCCGCUGGAUGGCUGUAACCCACAUCCCCUUCCCUCAUGCUGAUUAAGUGCUGCGAUAAGCAGCCCGGCCCCGGCCCUCAGGGACCCGACUCACAGAACCUGAAAUGAUGUCUGAAAUUAUCUGGAAGUAGGAAGGGAGGAACUCUGAGGAGGAGGAGAUGCAAAAAAGACAUGUUGUGUUUGGAGCAGAAGAUAUACCCUUCUGUUUGAACAUAUUUCAGGUUUCAUAAACAGAUGAGUAAGAUUUUGGACCAGAUUGAGCAUCAGUGUGACCAACAAGAUUAACAUGGAAGAGCUGGCUAGAGAUUGUUGCUGGCGUGGUUUAGUGGUUUGCACAUGUGACACAUUGUGCUAGCGUUGAAACGUGUAAUUCAGUCAGAUUAAGUAACAAGUAACAACCCACAUUGGAGUUUAAUCACAGGAGCCAUUGAAACCCAGUUCAAACUUGAAACAAUACAUACAGUAUGUUCUUCGCUUAGUGCUGCGGUUACACUGUCCUCUGCAUUUAACGCACAAUCUGAAGUUCACAAAACAGGGCCUUGUGUCCUAAACCCUUCCAUGUGUGCAGAAGUUUGCUGUUCCCCAAAAUCUGCUCAAUCAAAUUGUUCAUAGCAAAUUUAGCAAACAACGUUCAUCGCCUUAUAGUAACUGCUACACACUAGUCUUGUCACUGUAGCAUGCUUACAUGCACCCAAAUAGUCCGUUAGUAAUCGGAUAAAUGGCUCAGUCAUUAUAUUUCUUUAAAGGAAAAUAUCUCCCUUUGCAUUGAUCUUUGAGCGUCGCACCUUUGCAGACGUUGUUUAUGUUCUAACAGCAACAUUACACACUAACUAAAGUUUAAAAGUGAAAUCAUAAUCAGC